GACGAACGCUGGCGGCGUGCUUAACACAUGCAAGUCGAACGGAAAGGCCCUGCUUUUGUGGGGUGUUCGAGUGGCGAAAGGGUGAGUAACACGUGAGUAACCUGCCCUUGACUUUGGGAUAACUUCAGGAAACUGGGGCUAAUACCGGAUAGGAGCUCCUGCUGCAUGGUGGGGGUUGGAAAGCUUCGGCGGUUGGGGAUGGACUCGCGGCUGAUCAGCUUGUUGGUGGGGUAGUGGCUUACCAAGGAUUUGACGGGUAGCCGGCCUGAGAGGGUGACCGGCCACAUUGAGACUGAGAUACGGCCCAGUCUCCUACAGGAGGCAGCAGUGGGAAAUAUUGAACAAUGGGCGGAAGCCUGAUGCAGCAACGCCGCGUGCGGGAUGACGGCCUUCGGGUUGUGAACCGCUUUCGCCUGUGACGAAGCGUGAGUGACGGUACUGGGUAAAGAAGCACCGGCUAACUACGUG
Molecule: ribosomal RNA, 468 nt
Filed under: uncultured bacterium
Lineage: Bacteria
Description: partial 16S ribosomal RNA
Rfam family: Bacterial small subunit ribosomal RNA
Source: RNAcentral